AUUGAACGCUGGCGGCAUGCUUUACACAUGCAAGUCGAACGGUAACAGGGUGCUUGCACCGCUGACGAGUGGCGAACGGGUGAGUAAUGCGUCGGAACGUGCCGAGUAGUGGGGGAUAACGCAGCGAAAGUUGUGCUAAUACCGCAUACGUACUGAGGUAGAAAGUGGGGGACCUUCGGGCCUCACGCUAUUCGAGCGGCCGACGUCUGAUUAGCUAGUAGGUGAGGUAAAGGCUCACCUAGGCUACGAUCAGUAGCGGGUCUGAGAGGAUGAUCCGCCACACUGGGACUGAGACACGGCCCAGACUCCUACGGGAGGCAGCAGUGGGGAAUUUUGGACAAUGGGCGAAAGCCUGAUCCAGCCAUGCCGCGUGUCUGAAGAAGGCCUUCGGGUUGUAAAGGACUUUUGUCAGGGAGGAAAUCCCUAGUGCUAAUAACACUGGGGGAUGACAGUACCUGAAGAAUAAGCACCGGCUAACUACGUGCCAGCCGCCGCAGUAA
This 500-nucleotide ribosomal RNA is filed under the name uncultured bacterium. RNAcentral describes it as "partial 16S ribosomal RNA". It matches the Rfam family "Bacterial small subunit ribosomal RNA", at positions 30 to 523 of the family's 1533-position model. The record is from RNAcentral.